GAAAGAUUCAUCGGAAGAGGAUGGGCAUGCGGCGCAUUAGCUAGACGGCGGGGUAACGGCCCACCGUGGCGACGAUGCGUAGGGGUUCUGAGAGGAAGGUCCCCCACACUGGUACUGAGACACGGACCAGACUCCUACGGGAGGCAGCAGUGAGGAAUAUUGGUCAAUGGGAGAGAUCCUGAACCAGCCAAGCCGCGUGAGGGAAGACGGCCCUAUGGGUUGUAAACCUCUUUUGUCGGAGAACAAAACCCGGGACGAGUCCCGGACUGCGUGUAUCCGAAGAAAAAGCAUCGGCUAACUCCGUGCCAGCAGCCGCGGUAAUACGGAGGAUGCGAGCGUUAUCCGGAUUUAUUGGGUUUAAAGGGUGCGUAGGCGGUCUGUUAAGUCAGCGGUAAAAUUGCGGGGCUCAACCCCGUCGAGCCGUUGAAACUGGCAGACUUGAGUUGGCGAGAAGUACGCGGAAUGCGCGGUGUAGCGGUGAAAUGCAUAGAUAUCGCGCAGAACUCCGAUUGCGAAGGCAGCGUACCGGCGCCAGACUGACGCUGAGGCACGAAAGCGUGGGGAUCGAACAGGAUUAGAUACCCUGGUAGUCCACGCAGUAAACGAUAAAUGCUGGUUGUCCGGGUCGAAUGAGACCUGGGCGGCGA
This 647-nucleotide ribosomal RNA is filed under the name uncultured bacterium. Its description in RNAcentral is "bacterial SSU rRNA". It matches the Rfam family "Bacterial small subunit ribosomal RNA", at positions 202 to 849 of the family's 1533-position model. The record is from RNAcentral.